Molecule: RNA transcript, 2982 nt
Organism: Jatropha curcas
Lineage: Eukaryota; Viridiplantae; Streptophyta; Magnoliopsida; Malpighiales; Euphorbiaceae
Gene name: Pentatricopeptide repeat (PPR) superfamily protein
Source: RefSeq, a predicted model, not a curated record
AAAGUUAUCUCAAACUCAACUCAAGUGAAACGUAUUUUCUCCUCCCUCCCUUCCCUACCCCGCUCGUUGUCUGCACUUCUACAGCCAUAGUCUUUGUUUAUACCUUCCCGUUGCUUUCGUUCUUGGCCAUCGCCUCCGCAGCAGUCGUAUUCUUCAAGCGUACAAGUGCCGGCAACCCGGAUUGACAACAUGUGGACUCAAAUCUUCAAUUCCUUCACCUGUGUCACUGUACAAAGCCUCCAUGGAUUUGAGAAGUCCCACUAUCGCUUUGUCUAUUUACUUUUCUAAGGCCAUGUCAACACCCUUGGGAGCUUGGCCACUGCCUGUCUGUUUCCUAGUUUCUUGAUUUUGGGUCAGGGAUCUGUUGUUUUCAAACGAAGGAGAGAGACAGUUAUGAAGGAGAGAGGUGAGAGAGAGGGAGGGUUAGCUAACCUAGGAUUGAACCGUGCUAACCCAAGCUAAUUAAUGUAGGGUUAGCUAACUGGUGUGAGUCCCUCAUUUAUAAUUUUUUAAUUUCAAUUUUGACUAUUUUGGCUUUUAGGGUGCAAUUGUGAAAUAAGUUUAAAAUUAGAGUUGUCUAAGGGGUUAAGUUCAUUUCAGGGUUAAGUUCAUUUCAGGGUGCAAGUAUAACAACUCAUAAAGUUUGGAGUAUUGGGAAUGAUUUAAACUCGUUUACACUUACUUGAAUUUCCCCGUUUCCAGCCAAUGUCUUCUCGACAUCAAAAUCAACAAUAACUAUCACAGUCUCAACCAAACCCUAAAUUUCAUUUUCUGCAAAAUCCCUCACAUAUUUCCCUCAAUUUCCCCAAAUUUGACUCUGCUGCGGUGGCUAUGGUCUGUGUUUAACCCUUUUUUGUGGACAAUUGGGCCUCCCCUGUCCUUCCGCCGAGUCUAUCUGCUUCACUGUUCAAAGGCAACUGAGCUGUAAUGUUUGUAUAUAAAGCUGUAAGUUCUUUAUGCAAAAUAAAUUUCCCUAUACCUCCAACUGAAGUUUUCAUGGUAGUGAGGAGGAACAAGUCAUUCUUGUCCAGUAAGUCUUACUAUUCGAUUAUAAAAGGGCUUAGUAUAGCUGAUGGAAAAUUUCGUGCAAUCCAGCCACUUUUGUGUAGUCUUAUAAAAGAAUAUGGCCUUUUUGAACCUAAGGUAAGUAAGAUACUGGUGCAUUAUAUUUGUCUAGGUAAGGAUGUGAACUGUGCCUUUUAUUUUCUUAGCAAGAUGAAGGAAAAUAAUGUUCCUCUUAGUAUUCCAGUCGGUGCUUUAAGAGCACUUACAAAAAUCGGUAGAUUUUUAUCUGCUUAUGAACUUGUUGUAGGAGCUAAAGAUUAUGGACCAGUAAUGGAUGUUGUUGAUUAUUCUAUUAUGGUUGAUGGACUUUGCAAGGGAGGACAUUUUGUUAAGGCAUUAAACUUGUGUGUUUUAGCUGAAAAGAAAGGAAUUAGUCUUAAUAUAAUCACUUAUAAUUCAGUUAUAAAUGGACUGUGCAACCAGGGAUGUCUUGUUGAAGCUUUUCGGCUUUUCGAUUCGUUAGAGAGAAUAAAAUUGGUUCCUUCAGAAAUUACUUAUUCCACAUUGAUUGAUAAUUUUUGUAAGCAAGGGUAUUUGCUGGACGCUAAGCUAUUAUUUGAGAGGAUGCUGCUCAAAGGCUAUAAAGUGAAUACACGUAUCUAUAAUUCAUUUCUUAAUGGUUAUUGCAAAUUUGGUCAAUUUGCAGAGGCCUUGAAGAUUUUGAAAAAUAUCCAAAUAGAAGGCCUUGAUCUUGAUGAGUUUACUGUUAGCUCUAUAAUUAAUGGUUAUUGUCUAAAGGGUGACAUGGAAGGGGCGCUAAGCUUCUUUUUUGACUAUAAGCAGAAGGGUAUUUCUCCUGAUUUCCUGGGCUUCUCGUACUUGAUUAGAGGUCUAUAUGCCAAGGGAAGGAUGGAAGAGGCCAGAAGCAUCUUACGUGAAAUGCUUCAAUCACAGUCGGCUAUGGAGCUGCUGAAGAGAGUCAACACUGGAGUUGAAACAGAGUCUAUAGAAAGUUUUCUCAUCUUCUUAUGUGAGCAGGGAAGUGUUAAAGAAGCUGUUAUUAUACUUGAUGAGAUUGCAUCUGCGUUUUUCCCAAUUCAGAAGUGCAGUAUUCCUUAUGAAUCACCAGAAAUGCAAAAUCUUUCUGAAUCGGAGGCUUUUAGUUUAUUUUCUCCAAGGACUAUAUCCUCACCUGAAAAGAAGGAUUUGGAUUUUGUGUCUUGUGAUGCAAGGAAUGCUGAUAAAAUGGUUAUGAGCUCUGAGGAUAUGGAAAGAUGUGAAAUUGACCACUUUGACUCGUAUUAUUCCAUAAUUGCUUCACUAUGCUCAAGAGGGGAGGCAUCAGAGGCCAAUAAGUUAGCAAAGGAUAUGCUGGCUAGCUUGGAUGGAACAUCGUGAAAUACUAAUGCCUUGUACUAGAUUGCACCUUCCUCAUCCUUCUAAGUCAAGCUUGCCAUUAUGCAGGGAAAGGGCUAUCAAGAGCAUAUGUGCUAAAGAUGUUCGAUUUGUGGAGUUGGCUAUGUACAACGCGAUGUAGAGAAUCUUGAUGGGAGCUUGGCAUAGCUUUGUUGUGCAAAAGAAGGAUACCUAACAAAACAUGAACAGAAUGAGAAGGAUGAUGGAAGCCAUGGUGGUUUAGGGAUGGUCCUUAUCAGCACAUCCAUUGCAGCUUAUGGGUCUUUCACUUUUGGGUGUUAUGCACAACUUUAUUUGUUGUUUGAUUAUUUAUCAACCCAUUAAGUUAGUUUUUUUUUUUUUUUAAAUACUUUUUUCUGAUUAGUAAAAACUUAUUUCCUUUGAUUCCAAUUCUCUUUGGAGCAAGUAAUGAUUUUAGUUGUUCUAGGAAUACAAGGCUAUGAAUUUGCAGGUGGGAUGCUCUGCACCAACCCAAUUAGGCAUUACGUUUGCUUGUCCAAUUCUAAUGAUUUUUGGCACUCACAUGUAUAAAUUUGCAAAUGCAAUUAUGGAUUUUUUUUA